Molecule: ribosomal RNA, 442 nt
Filed under: uncultured bacterium
Lineage: Bacteria
Description: partial 16S ribosomal RNA
Rfam family: Bacterial small subunit ribosomal RNA
Source: RNAcentral
CCUACGGGAGGCAGCAGUGGGGAAUAUUGGGCAAUGGGCGCAAGCCUGACCCAGCAACGCCGCGUGAAGGAAGAAGGCUUUCGGGUUGUAAACUUCUUUUGACAGGGAAGAGUAGAAGACGGUACCUCUUGAAUAAGCCACGGCUAACUACGUGCCAGCAGCCGCGGUAAUACGUAGGUGGCAAGCGUUGUCCGGAUUUACUGGGGGUAAAGGGCGUGCAGCCGGGAAGACAAGUCAGAUGUGAAAUCCCGCGGCUCAACCGCGGAACUGCAUUUGAAACUGUUUUUCUUGAGUACCGGAGAGGUCAUCGGAAUUCCUUGUGUAGCGGUGAAAUGCGUAGAUAUAAGGAAGAACACCAGUGGCGAAGGCGGAUGACUGGACGGCAACUGACGGUGAGGCGCGAAAGCGUGGGGAGCAAACAGGAUUAGAUACCCGUGUAGUC